This 191-nucleotide small RNA is filed under the name Pseudomonas saudimassiliensis. RNAcentral describes it as "P16". It matches the Rfam family "RgsA sRNA". Rfam says of the family: P16 sRNA appears to be conserved across several Pseudomonas species and Azotobacter vinelandii. In these species it is consistently located downstream of a predicted TatD deoxyribonuclease gene. The record is from RNAcentral. Lineage: Bacteria; Pseudomonadati; Pseudomonadota; Gammaproteobacteria; Pseudomonadales; Pseudomonadaceae.
UAAGCCUGUGCACCUUAUUUCGAAUAGGUUUAAACACGGCGACAAACUGACUGGAAAUGCGGCAAAUCUCGGCAAUACUUUGCAUAACAGGCGCGGCGUAUCCCCCACAUGCCGCUCCUGGCAGAACCGGCACUGCCCGAUUCUGUAUCACUCCUAAUGGUCUUGACCCGAAUUUCUCCCCCGGAAUUCGG